This 79-nucleotide transfer RNA is filed under the name Microbulbifer sp. ZGT114. RNAcentral describes it as "tRNA-Arg". It matches the Rfam family "tRNA". From Rfam's summary of the family: Transfer RNA (tRNA) molecules are approximately 80 nucleotides in length. Their secondary structure includes four short double-helical elements and three loops (D, anti-codon, and T loops). Further hydrogen bonds mediate the characteristic L-shaped molecular structure. tRNAs have two regions of fundamental functional importance: the anti-codon, which is responsible for specific mRNA codon recognition, and the 3' end, to which the tRNAs corresponding amino acid is attached (by aminoacyl-tRNA synthetases). tRNAs cope with the degeneracy of the genetic code in two manners: having more than one tRNA (with a specific anti-codon) for a particular amino acid; and 'wobble' base-pairing, i.e. permitting non-standard base-pairing at the 3rd anti-codon position. RNAcentral also lists the same sequence under 1 other name. The record is from RNAcentral. Lineage: Bacteria; Pseudomonadati; Pseudomonadota; Gammaproteobacteria; Cellvibrionales; Microbulbiferaceae.
GCACCCGUGGCCAAACUGGAUUGAAGGCAUCGGCCUACGAAGCCGGGGAUUGCAGGUUCGAAUCCUGCCGGGUGCGCCA